Molecule: transfer RNA, 72 nt
Filed under: Camelus bactrianus (Bactrian camel)
Lineage: Eukaryota; Metazoa; Chordata; Mammalia; Artiodactyla; Camelidae
Also listed under: 2 other names
Rfam family: tRNA
About the family: Transfer RNA (tRNA) molecules are approximately 80 nucleotides in length.
Source: Rfam by way of RNAcentral
GAGGGUAGAGCUCAGUAGUAGAGCAGGUGAUUAGCAUGUGCAAAGUCCUGGGGUCAAUCCCCAGUACCUCCA